AACGAACGCUGGCGGCAGGCCUAACACAUGCAAGUCGAACGGACCCUUCGGGGUCAGUGGCAGACGGGUGAGUAACGCGUGGGAAUCUACCCGGUUCUUCGGAAUAACCCAGGGAAACUUGGGCUAAUACCGGAUACGCCCUUAGGGGGAAAGAUUUAUCGGAAUUGGAUGAGCCCGCGUCGGAUUAGCUAGUUGGUGGGGUAAUGGCCUACCAAGGCGACGAUCCGUAGCUGGUCUGAGAGGAUGAUCAGCCACACUGGGACUGAGACACGGCCCAG
RNAcentral lists this ribosomal RNA (278 nucleotides) under uncultured bacterium. RNAcentral describes it as "partial 16S ribosomal RNA". It matches the Rfam family "Bacterial small subunit ribosomal RNA", at positions 29 to 334 of the family's 1533-position model. The record is from RNAcentral.